This 637-nucleotide ribosomal RNA is filed under the name uncultured bacterium. RNAcentral's name for it is "bacterial SSU rRNA". It matches the Rfam family "Bacterial small subunit ribosomal RNA", at positions 607 to 1244 of the family's 1533-position model. The record is from RNAcentral.
GCUUAACCGAAGAAGGGCAUCGGAAACUGGAUGACUUGAGUGCAGAAGAGGGCAGUGGAACUCCAUGUGUAGCGGUGGAAUGCGUAGAUAUAUGGAAGAACACCAGUGGCGAAGGCGGCUGCCUAGUCUGCAACUGACGCCGAGGCUCGAAAGCAUGGGUAGCGAACAGGAUUAGAUACCCUGGUAGUCCAUGCCGUAAACGAUGAGUGCUAGGUGUUGGAGGGUUUCCGCCCUUCAGUGCCGCAGCUAACGCAAUAAGCACUCCGCCUGGGGAGUAUGACCGCAAGGUUGAAACUCAAAGGAAUUGACGGGGGCCCGCACAAGCGGUGGAGCAUGUGGUUUAAUUCGAAGCUACGCGAAGAACCUUACCAGGUCUUGACAUCUUGCGCUAACCUAAGAGAUUAGGCGUUCCCUUCGGGGACGCAAUGACAGGUGGUGCAUGGUCGUCGUCAGCUCGUGUCGUGAGAUGUUGGGUUAAGUCCCGCAACGAGCGCAACCCUUGUUACUAGUUGCCAGCAUUCAGUUGGGCACUCUAGUGAGACUGCCGGUGACAAACCGGAGGAAGGUGGGGACGACGUCAGAUCAUCAUGCCCCUUAUGACCUGGGCUACACACGUGCUACAAUGGACGGUACAACG